This is a non-coding RNA of Heterocephalus glaber (naked mole-rat), 1148 nucleotides long. NCBI's taxonomy places the organism in Eukaryota, Metazoa, Chordata, Mammalia, Rodentia, Bathyergidae. The record is from RefSeq and is a predicted model, not a curated record.
UGUAUUUUGCUCUCAGUUCACCCAUUUAUGGAGCUCAAAUUUGGAUCCAAGUGUAGUAAAUAUCUACUACUGUUACUUUCUUUACCUUCCUCUUACUCCAUUUCUCUGGUAGCCCAGAUCGUCCUCUGGGAACUGCUCACGUGUUAUUUUUAGUCUGAGGAGGGGUCUGCAUCUUCCUGGGCUACUGAUAGAAAACCUUGCAGGAGUUUCUGAUACCAGAUAGAUUUGGGUACAGCUAAUUACUGCAUGCUGCUUUCCAAUGGGAUCGUUGCUUUGUGCUGUUGGAAAAAUGCUGCCCGCAUUGGGCCACUUGCUGUAGUGGAUCGAGGAAGAGGCAGAUGAAUGUUAAACUCCCGUCAAGCUCUGUAAGCCAGCCUCCAGGGCGGGACCUUUGGCCGGCCCGUCCCGCGCAUGCGCACAUGCACACACCUGCCCCUUGAGAGCAGGCACAGCCCGGAAGUGCACCUCUGAGCCCUUGUCCCGAUUUCCACUGCACACUCUCGCCUCCCUUGCAAGCACUGCAGGUGCGAGCUGAAAAAGACACAGGCCCUGUUGGAAGAAUCCUGAUAAGAGAAGCUGGGAGCCAGGCUGAGGGGAAGAAACAGAAAUAUUGAUCUCAGGAGCUGACGGGUCUCACGGAAGGGUCCAGAGCUAACAAAGAAAAAUAAUAUAAUGCAAACACUACCACGUUGCAUGGAAAGAUGUGGUCAAUGACUAACAGUAGCUGCUACCAGGACAAGAAUGCAUACAACCAGAAGUGACCAUCUUCUAAUGGAAGAACACAUCUUCUGCGGUGAUCAUGCCAAAUACCGAGACUGAGUCUGAGCACAUCUCUUACUCUGCCCCCUAUGUAUAGGAAAUAGAGCGGUAGAAGGACAACUGGCAAAAUUCAGGUCGUAGGAAACCCAUCAGUCUUUGCUAGUUAUUGUAUUUAUGUUUAUGCCUAAUUUAUGCUUAUCUCUAUCAUCGUGUCUCUUUUUUUUCCCUCUACCUAAGUUUAUGUCUAUAUCAUUCAGUCUCUGUAUGCAUAUCUACACAAGUCAGUGUUUACAUCUACAUCUGUAUCUUAUGUCUUGUUCAAACCUUCUCUGUCUAUUAUGUGAAAGAUAAAGAGGUGAUGUAUGUAUUAAAAAAAAUAAGAGACAUAA